UUUUUAAAGUCUCAUGUGACUAACGUUGUUCGAGACCUGUACAAAAAGAUAUCAAGCUCUAUUUACUUGUUUACUAUCAACAGUCACAUAUUUUAUAAAGGUAAAGAGAAAUGUUGAUGGGAAGAUGGCGUAGUUGGCUAAUUUACUAUACUCGUUGGGAUUAAUGGUUAUUAAGGUUGCACUAUACAAGCCUUCGAUUUAUAAUUUCUUAUUAAUGAUUAUUAUAAUUUUGAAGGAAAAAUAUCUUCGGAUUUUGGCUCAUAAUUGAUCAGUUAUAAAAAUAGUCGGGACUGACAAGGCUCGAACCUGCAGUGAUCAGUUUCUGCUGCUGGAGCGUUCUCUAUGUUUAGUAACCUGGGUAAAGGCUGCCUUGCUUUCCGUUGUGGAAUCUUUAGAUGCUUUUUAUUCAACUUCGAGACACACAAUGAAGUAUAUCUCUUUAGAUUCUUUGAGCUGCGAUUGAUCUAAACGUUCCAAGUGCAUCCAACAUGAAAUGGAAGGUUGAAAAGUAUAAAAUAGAUAA
RNAcentral lists this small RNA (523 nucleotides) under Arabidopsis thaliana (thale cress). RNAcentral describes it as "ATSL029260". The record is from RNAcentral. Lineage: Eukaryota; Viridiplantae; Streptophyta; Magnoliopsida; Brassicales; Brassicaceae.